RNAcentral lists this ribosomal RNA (362 nucleotides) under uncultured bacterium. RNAcentral describes it as "bacterial SSU rRNA". It matches the Rfam family "Bacterial small subunit ribosomal RNA", at positions 355 to 734 of the family's 1533-position model. The record is from RNAcentral.
UGGGGAAUAUUGCACAAUGGGGGAAACCCUGAUGCAGCAACGCCGCGUGAGUGAUGACGGCUUUCGGGUUGUAAAGCUCUGUCUUCAGUGACGAUACUGACGGUACCUGAGGAGGAAGCCACGGCUAACUACGUGCCAGCAGCCGCGGUAAUACGUAGGUGGCAAGCGUUGUCCGGAUUUACUGGGCGCAACGGGAGCGUAGGCGGACUUUUAAGUGAGAUGUGAAAUACCCGGGCUCAACCUGGGUGCUGCAUUUCAAACUGGAAGUCUAGAGUGCAGGAGAGGAAGGUUGAAUUCCUAGUUGAGCAGGGAAAUGCGUAGAGAUUAGGAAGAGCACCAGUGGCGAAGGCGACUCUCUGGAC